GUGCUUAGCCCGGCAGUACAUACUAAUAAAUUGAAUCGAUACAGAGAAGAUUAGCAUGGCCCCUGCGAGAAAGGAUGACCGCAAAUUCGUAGAGCGUUUCCAUAUUUUU
This is a small nuclear RNA of Hippoglossus stenolepis (Pacific halibut), 109 nucleotides long. Lineage: Eukaryota; Metazoa; Chordata; Actinopteri; Pleuronectiformes; Pleuronectidae. The record is from RefSeq and is a predicted model, not a curated record.